AGGCCCAUAGCUCAACCCGGAUAGAGCAGUCGGCUUCGGACCGGAAGAUGGGGGUUCAAAUCCUCCUGGGCCUG
RNAcentral lists this transfer RNA (74 nucleotides) under Candidatus Pacearchaeota archaeon. Its description in RNAcentral is "tRNA-Arg". It matches the Rfam family "tRNA". Rfam says of the family: Transfer RNA (tRNA) molecules are approximately 80 nucleotides in length. Their secondary structure includes four short double-helical elements and three loops (D, anti-codon, and T loops). The record is from RNAcentral. Lineage: Archaea; Nanobdellati.